UCCUGGAAGUGAUCGUGGAGAUGUCUGCUGAAAGUCAUGUCACAUCCUCCAAGUUAAUUAUUUUAGUACGCAACCUGCAGAAACUGACAACAAGUAUGGCCAACAGUUAUGCACCAGAGUCUGUUGGUCAGAGGCUAGCUAGCACUCUGAACAAGCAUCUGACCAAAAGGUGUGGAGACUAUGAAUCAACAAGAUUUCUCGCAGUAUCAAUGCUGCUGGAUCCUCGGUAUAAAAAAAGUAGCCUUUGCCAUGGAGACAAAUGCAGAGAUGGCUGUUCGAGCAUUAACAUCCGAGGCCAGCCAACUGAAUGCUGUGGAAUGCCACCCAGAGGCAACAACUUCAGAUGCACCACUCACACAACAACAAACCAGGGCUAGUUAUGUGUGGUCUGAUUUUGAUUUGAAGGUGAGUCAGCAAAAAAAAACAUGGAUAUCAUCUCUGAAGUGAAAAUGUACGUCUCCCAGCCAAAUGUCAACAGAAUGUCUUUACCAUUGUACUUCUGGCACGAACAAGGACAAAAGUUCCCAAACUUGCAGACUCUGGCAAAAAAAAUACUUGGCCAUAAUGGCAACAUCUGUGCCAAGCGAGCGUGUAUUUUCAAAGUCUGAUGAGCUUAUCUCAAAAAGACACUCUUGCCUGAAGAGCUCUCAGGUGAAAUGUAUAAUGUUCUUACACUACAAUAUGUAACUGGUCUAGGCCUGUGAUGUUGGAUCAAUGUGUAUCCUGCUCUGAGUGUUGUUUUUAAUACAAAGUGUACAGUAUGUGUGUAAAGUGAGUCUGUAAUUUAGCAUGUUUAAAACUGUACAGUUUUAUGACACUGGAUGAAAUAUGUACUUCACACUGAUUGUUUUGUUACAUUUCAGAGGUUUUGUGGCUUGAAUACAAGAUUAGCACUGCACUAAAUGUAGAAAGUAGACA
Long non-coding RNA from Onychostoma macrolepis, 918 nucleotides. RefSeq lists it as uncharacterized. The record is from RefSeq and is a predicted model, not a curated record. The transcript has 3 exons. Lineage: Eukaryota; Metazoa; Chordata; Actinopteri; Cypriniformes; Cyprinidae.